Molecule: ribosomal RNA, 292 nt
Filed under: uncultured bacterium
Lineage: Bacteria
Description: partial 16S ribosomal RNA
Rfam family: Bacterial small subunit ribosomal RNA
Source: RNAcentral
CCUACGGGACGCAGCAGUAGGGAAUCUUCCACAAUGGGCGAAAGCCUGAUGGAGCAACGCCGCGUGGGUGAAGAAGGUCUUCGGAUCGUAGAAUCCUGUUGUUAGAGAAGAAAGUGCGUGAGAGUAACUGUUCACGUUUCGACGGUAUCUAACCAGAAAGCCACGGCUAACUACGUGCCAGCAGCCGCGGUAAUACGUAGGUGGCAAGCGUUGUCCGGAUUUAUUGGGCGUAAAGCGAGUGCAGGCGGUUUAAUAAAUUUGAUGUUAAAGGUUUUGGCUUAAACGGAAAAUU